UGCCCUAGUAACGGCGAGUGAAGCGGCAACAGCUCAAAUUUGAAAUCUGGCUCUUUUAGAGUCCGAGUUGUAAUUUGCAGAGGGCGCUUUGGCUUUGGCAGCGGUCCAAGUUCCUUGGAACAGGACGUCACAGAGGGUGAGAAUCCCGUACGUGGUCGCUGGCUAUUGCCGUGUAAAGCCCCUUCGACGAGUCGAGUUGUUUGGGAAUGCAGCUCUAAAUGGGAGGUACAUUUCUUCUAAAGCUAAAUAUUGGCCAGAGACCGAUAGCGCACAAGUAGAGUGAUCGAAAGAUGAAAAGCACUUUGGAAAGAGAGUCAAACAGCACGUGAAAUUGUUGAAAGGGAAGCGCUUGCAGCCAGACUUGCUUGCAGUUGCUCAUCCGGGCUUUUGCCCGGUGCACUCUUCUGUAGGCAGGCCAGCAUCAGUUUGGGCGGUAGCAUAAAGGUCUCUGUCACGUACCUCUCUUCGGGGAGGCCUUAUAGGGGAGGCGACAUUCUACCAGCCUGAACUGAGGUCCGCGCAUCUGCUAGGAUGCUGGCGUAAUGGCUGUAAGCGGCCCGUCUUGAAACACGGACCAAGGAGUCUAACAUCUAUGCGAGUGUUUGGGUGUCAAGCCCGAGCGCGUAAUGAAAGUGAACGGAGGUAGGAACCCGCAAGGGGGCACUAUCGACCGAUCCUGAUGUCUUCGGAAGGAUUUGAGUAAGAGCAUGGCUGUUGGGACCCGAAAGAUGGUGAACUAUGCUUGAAUAGGGUGAAGCCAGAGGAAACUCUGGUGGAGGCUCGCAGCGGUUCUGACGUGCAAAUCGAUCGUCAAAUUUGGGCAUAGGGGCGAAAGAC
This 837-nucleotide ribosomal RNA is filed under the name Alternaria sp. IHEM 27901. RNAcentral describes it as "partial 28S ribosomal RNA". It matches the Rfam family "Eukaryotic large subunit ribosomal RNA", at positions 76 to 931 of the family's 3401-position model. The record is from RNAcentral. Lineage: Eukaryota; Fungi; Ascomycota; Dothideomycetes; Pleosporales; Pleosporaceae.